AAGUUUCUUAUUGCUUACUGUUUUCUCAAUAUUAACUUGAAAGAUGUUGAGAAAGAUAUUAACUUGAUAUACGUACUGUUUUGUGUUUUCUUCUAUGGAAAUAGUGUGUGAAAGGACUUCUGUUAUUGUUGCAAUACGUUUGCAUAAAUAUAUAGAAGCUGAAUUGCAGGGACAUUACAGGUUUUGUGUUUGAGUAUCUGGGCAUAUAUACGUAAAAUACAGGUUUGUGUCUGAUCCACUAUUUUCAAUCUAUUUUCAAGUGAUAUUGUGAACCAUAUAUGACCCGUGCGGAAGCAUAGGUGGGAGAUCUAGUUCAUUCUAGGGAGAGUAACAUAGUGGAGGACAAUAGGUUAUAGCUGACAUGAGUUAUGUUUACAAAAGAAUCAGAGUUUGUUUUUCUCUCUCUAUGUCUCUAAUAAACUUGUUUUUUUAUUCUAUGAUAAUUGCUGAUGUGAGGAAAAGGUUUGAUGCUUGGAGUUGAACUUGUCACUGGCUGUGAACUUAAAAUUCCAGCCAAAGAUGAAACACGACAUGUGAUGGACCAAAUAAAAGGUUAUGGAAUUGUAUUCAGAAAUAAGCUCCCUUAUGUUUUACCAAAGAUGUUUCCUAAUGGAUGCUAUGGAGUGCACAUUAUCUAGAAUUUGACCUGUGAAGCUUAAAUAAGAUGCAAGUGUAAAUAAAUGACAACUUAUUUUAUGAGAAGUUAAACUCUAUUAGAAUAUUAUGUAUUGACUCAAGCAAGUAAAGUUUAUAAAUUUUAAAUGCUUGCUUAGACCAAUAUA
Long non-coding RNA from Medicago truncatula (barrel medic), 782 nucleotides. RefSeq lists it as uncharacterized. The record is from RefSeq and is a predicted model, not a curated record. Lineage: Eukaryota; Viridiplantae; Streptophyta; Magnoliopsida; Fabales; Fabaceae. The transcript has 3 exons.